RNAcentral lists this long non-coding RNA (324 nucleotides) under Mytilus galloprovincialis (Mediterranean mussel). Lineage: Eukaryota; Metazoa; Mollusca; Bivalvia; Mytilida; Mytilidae. The record is from RNAcentral.
CUUUAUCAGACAUGUCAGGGUUAUUCAACUUCCAGUGAGGUCAUAGUAUUUUUGAUGACCAUUCACUAACAGGCAUGUCAGGGUUAUUCAAUUUUCCGUAAGGUCAUAGCAUUUUUGAUAACCAAUCACUAUCAGGAAUGUCAGGGUUAUUCAAUUUCCCAUGAGUUCAUAGUAUUUUUGAGGACCAAUUACUAUAAGGCAUGUCAGGGUUAUUCAAUUUCCUAUGAGGUCAUAGUAAUGAGGUCAUAGUAUUUUGGAGGACCAAUAUCUAUCAGACAUGUAAGGGUUAUUCAAUUUCCCAUGACGUCAUAGUAUAUUUGAGGG